GAUGAACGCUGGCGGCGUGCCUAAUACAUGCAAGUCGAGCGAACAGACGAGGAGCUUGCUCCUUUGACGUUAGCGGCGGACGGGUGAGUAACACGUAGGUAACCUACCUAUAAGACUGGGAUAACUUCGGGAAACCGGAGCUAAUACCGGAUAAUAUUUCGAACCGCAUGGUUCGAUAGUGAAAGAUGGCUUUGCUAUCACUUAUAGAUGGACUUGCGCCGUAUUAGCUAGUUGGUAAGGUAACGGCUUACCAAGGCAACGAUUCGUAGCCGACCUGAGAGGGUGAUCGGCGACACUGGAACUGAGACACGGUCCAGACUCCUACGGGAGGGAGCAGUAGGGAAUCUUCCGCAAUGGGCGAAAGCCUGACGGAGCAACGCCGCGUGAGUGAUGAAGGUCUUCGGAUCGUAAAACUCUGUUAUGAGGGAAGAACAAACUUGUAAUUAACUGUGCACGUCUUGACGGUACCUAAUCAGAAAGCCACGGCUAACUACGUG
Molecule: ribosomal RNA, 497 nt
Filed under: uncultured bacterium
Lineage: Bacteria
Description: partial 16S ribosomal RNA
Rfam family: Bacterial small subunit ribosomal RNA
Source: RNAcentral